Molecule: long non-coding RNA, 1340 nt
Filed under: Mus musculus (house mouse)
Lineage: Eukaryota; Metazoa; Chordata; Mammalia; Rodentia; Muridae
Description: predicted gene, 49707
Source: RNAcentral
AGGUGCACAUGGUGUUGAGAUGCCAAGGCAGUGCUUGCUGGGAGCUGCUCGGGGACUCAUACGGAGAGCUUGGUUCUGUUUCUCUAGGCCUGGCCUCUCCUCUCUCUAGAACUUCACAACUGGGUCUUAAAAUUUCUGCUCGGAAUUCCUCCUGCAUGCCUAAUGGGCAUUUUAAAAUUAAUUGGGCUGAACAGAACUCAUGAUCAACUUUGUAUCCCAACCCUCAAAGGAAAGGAACGAGUUAUGUCCUCAUGAGUCAUCCUCAUAGCCGGGCAUGGCACCAGGUUGCACUCAACUACCCAGGUCAAAAAUAAUCAGGUACGGGAGUCUUACCUUCCCCCAACUUUUCUAAUUCAAAGUGAGCCCUACCUAGUCUCCUUCCAAGGCAUAUCCAGCUCCGCCCUUUUCUUGCUCUGUCUUUUACGCUAGCUCUGUUUUUAGCUAGUGUAAGCCACCAUGUUCUCUGGCCCAGACUUCUACCAAGAACCUUCUAAUGGCUUACUCUUCCUUUUUCAAGAGCAGCCAUGCCCAGCUUGACACCCCUCACCCCAUCCCUCUCCCCCCAGAGCACUUCCAUCACACUUAGCAUGCAAAGCCAGGGGCCUUCCUAAGGUCCUUCCUGAGUGCCUUACCCACUUAGAUCUUGAACACUCACCCACCGGGCUCCUGCCCGCACCACACACUCAGCCCUUCUGCCUGUCCUAUGAACCUUGCUUUCAGGCUCCUCUGUCCUCAAAGCUGCCUUUCGUGUUAGAUACUUUCCUGAAUCCCCGAGGAAGAGCAACUUAGGGGAUGAAACGUUUAUUUGGGCUGCAAUUUGAGGGAUGGAGUCCGUUAUGGUGAGGAAGGCCUGGCACUGGCCAGGCAGCAGAGUGUGGACAGGUGGUGAGGAUGGGCUAUAGAACCUUAAGAUCUCUUCACAGUGACCUCCUUCUGUCAGCAGCUCCUAAAGGUUCCACAGCUUUCAAAAAAAGCUCAACCAACUGGGAUGUCAACCAAAUGUUCAAGUACACAGCCUGGGGGGCGGGGGGGGGGCACAUUUCACAUUCAAACCGCAAGUGCUUCCUUGAUGCAUCUAACUCCCAGAUGUCGGCUCUUCAGAGAAGCAGCUCUAGAUCUGUCUUUGUGGCUAUGGCCAGAAGAGGGCGUCAGAUCCCAUUGCAGAUGGUUGUGAGCCACCAUGUGGUUGCAGGAACUGCAACUCAGGACCUCUGGAAGAGCAGUCAGUGCUCUUAAUCACUGAGCCAUCUCUCCUGUCCCCCUUUUGUUUUUCUUUCCCCUUUCUUCCUUUCUUUUCUUUUCUUUUACUCUGAACAACACAGUAAACUACUGUUACCUCA